This 418-nucleotide ribosomal RNA is filed under the name uncultured bacterium. Its description in RNAcentral is "bacterial SSU rRNA". It matches the Rfam family "Bacterial small subunit ribosomal RNA", at positions 359 to 775 of the family's 1533-position model. The record is from RNAcentral.
GAAUAUUGGGCAAUGGACGGAAGUCUGACCCAGCCAUGCCGCGUGCAGGAAGAAGGCCUUCUGGGUUGUAAACUGCUUUUAUAUAAGAAGAAAAAACUCUUGCGAGAGGAACUGACGGUACUAUAUGAAUAAGCACCGGCUAACUCCGUGCCAGCAGCCGCGGUAAUACGGAGGGUGCAAGCGUUGUCCGGAUUUAUUGGGUUUAAAGGGUGCGUAGGCGGACCUGUAAGUCAGUGGUGAAAGCCUCCAGCUCAACUGGAGAACUGCCAUUGAUACUGCAGGGCUUGAGUACAGACGAGGUUGGCGGAAUUGAUGGUGUAGCGGUGAAAUGCAUAGAUACCAUCAAGAACUCCGAUUGCGUAGGCAGCUAACUAGGCUGUAACUGACGCUGAGGCACGAAAGCGUGGGGAGCGAACAG